UCUUCUUCUCUAACCUCUUCACAUGUCAUCUUUAAAAGUUCUCUCCUCACCUUCUUUUCUCUGUUAUAGUCUCCGCCCAGAUUGACAUCUACUAACCUUACCCAAUCACGCAUCUCUCUCAAAUCCGGCUGAGUUUGAAUUCCAGGGAGAAGUAUACAGGGAAUCGAAUCAUUCGAGUGGGUGUUUUUUUUUGCACAAUACGAUUGUCCAGCGAGAGAACUAGCGGAAGACAUGUUGUGAAGAUGUUACGAAAUUUGAUAUCAUUAUAUUACUAUCUCAAGUUUUGAUUUACUGACUUAGAGAAACAUAGAGUGGAUGAGUGUAAAAGCAGAUGUGAGAGGCUCUGGUAACGAUCAAAAGCUGAGCACACCUAGGUCUAAACAUUCUGCUACGAAGAAGGAGCAAGAUCAAUGAUAGGGUUAUCGAGUAUAUUCAAUUCUUACCGGAGAAAGCAGACAAGUAUGAAACCUCUUACCAAGGAUGGAACCACGAACCUGCAAAGCUAUUGAAUUGGAGAAACAAUCAACAGCUGGUACCUGAGGGAACCGUCGCUUUUACUCCAAAAUUGGAAGAAGAGAAGAACAACGUUCCGGUACCGGUACUUCCGUACUUGCAACAACACAAGGUAUUGUUAUCGAUCAUCCGACAGCCGCAACAUAUGUCAGGACGAUGAGGACGAAAAUUGGUCAAGCUCCAAGGCACAUAUGUUUCGCUAGAGAUAAACGACUGAUGCUGAGCUACGGUGGUGCAAGUAAGUAUCCAAUAUCGAACAAACAAGAUGUCUCUGAAGACUAUGCACAGUUUUACUAAAUAUCAUACACAUUUAGUAGUAAUACGAAUCUCAAUGAAAGUUUUGUGACUCAGUUCUUUAAAUCCCUUUUUGAUUCAAAUAGUGACUCAAGCAAAAAUACAACAUUGGAGCUUGGAGGUCUUCCC
Molecule: non-coding RNA, 936 nt
Organism: Camelina sativa (false flax)
Lineage: Eukaryota; Viridiplantae; Streptophyta; Magnoliopsida; Brassicales; Brassicaceae
Source: RefSeq, a predicted model, not a curated record